This 399-nucleotide ribosomal RNA is filed under the name uncultured bacterium. Its description in RNAcentral is "bacterial SSU rRNA". It matches the Rfam family "Bacterial small subunit ribosomal RNA", at positions 29 to 430 of the family's 1533-position model. The record is from RNAcentral.
AUUGAACGCUGGCGGCAUGCUUUACACAUGCAAGUCGAACGGCAGCGCGGGGGCAACCCUGGCGGCGAGUGGCGAACGGGUGAGUAAUGCAUCGGAACGUAUCCUGUAAUGGGGGGAUAACGUAGCGAAAGUUACGCUAAUACCGCAUACGCUCGAGAGAGGAAAGUGGGGGAUCGCAAGACCUCACGUUAUAGGAGCGGCCGAUGUCCGAUUAGCUAGUUGGUGGGGUAAAGGCCUACCAAGGCGACGAUCGGUAGCUGGUCUGAGAGGAUGAUCAGCCACACUGGGACUGAGACACGGCCCAGACUCCUACGGGAGGCAGCAGUGGGGAAUUUUGGACAAUGGGCGAAAGCCUGAUCCAGCCAUGCCGCGUGCGGGAAGAAGGCCUCGGUUGUAACG